GGUGGAGGAAGAGGCUGAAUUGUCGGAGGAUGGGCGGAAGAAGAGGAUUGAAGAGAUAGGAAAAGAAGUUGCUUGGUUUAAGCGUGCGGGCCAGCAACAGAUGGAGGUACCUUUAUUAUUGGAUUUUGGGUUGGUUGAAUAUAACUCAUUGUGAUUAAUUUGUUCUGUCAUUGUGCCCAUGUUGUGAUAAAUGCUGUGAUACUAGCUGUUAUCACAACAUAUUAUCAGUUUUAUGAGCUAUACAAUGAGUCUGGUAUUGUACUAGAGAGUGGAGCUAGAAAUGUUCAUUAAACUACAGAGUUCCGUUUUGCCUAAUAGAGAUAUAAACUAUUCGUGGAGCACUCGUCUACAAGCUUAAAGCUUAAGCUUCUUUGACAUUAUGCCCUUUAUUGAUUGGUUUGAUCAUUAAAUUAAAAUAAAAAAAUACAGAAAAAAAAAAUAAAUAGAAAGAGAGGUAGUA
Molecule: unclassified non-coding RNA, 460 nt
Filed under: Hevea brasiliensis (rubber tree)
Lineage: Eukaryota; Viridiplantae; Streptophyta; Magnoliopsida; Malpighiales; Euphorbiaceae
Source: RNAcentral